CACUAUCGUUAACUGAAUACAUAGGUUAACGAGGCGAACCGGGGGAACUGAAACAUCUAAGUACCCCGAGGAAAAGAAAUCAACCGAGAUUCCCCCAGUAGCGGCGAGCGAACGGGGAGCAGCCCAGAGUCUGAAUCAGCUUGUGUGUUAGUGGAACGGUCUGGAAAGUCCGACGGUACAGGGUGAUAGUCCCGUACACCAAAAUGCACAGGUUGUGAACUCGAAGAGUAGGGCGGGACACGUGGUAUCCUGUCUGAAUAUGGGGGGACCAUCCUCCAAGGCUAAAUACUCCUGACUGACCGAUAGUGAACCAGUACCGUGAGGGAAAGGCGAAAAGAACCCCGGCGAGGGGAGUGAAAAAGAACCUGAAACCGUGUACGUACAAGCAGUGGGAGCACCUUCGGGUGUGACUGCGUACCUUUUGUAUAAUGGGUCAGCGACUUAUAUUCUGUAGCAAGGUUAACCGUAUAGGGGAGCCGCAGGGAAACCGAGUCUUAACUGGGCGUUAAGUUGCAGGGUAUAGACCCGAAACCCGGUGAUCUAGCCAUGGGCAGGUUGAAGGUUGGGUAACACUAACUGGAGGACCGAACCGACUAAUGUUGAAAAAUUAGCGGAUGACUUGUGGCUGGGGGUGAAAGGCCAAUCAAACCGGGAGAUAGCUGGUUCUCCCCGAAAGCUAUUUAGGUAGCGCCUCGUGAA
RNAcentral lists this ribosomal RNA (699 nucleotides) under Klebsiella aerogenes. RNAcentral's name for it is "partial 23S ribosomal RNA". It matches the Rfam family "Bacterial large subunit ribosomal RNA", at positions 146 to 888 of the family's 2925-position model. RNAcentral also lists the same sequence under 11 other names. Lineage: Bacteria; Pseudomonadati; Pseudomonadota; Gammaproteobacteria; Enterobacterales; Enterobacteriaceae. The record is from RNAcentral.